AGUUUCCGGUAUCUCUGCAAUGGCGGCUCUGGACUCCCUGUCGCUGUUCACUAGCCUCGGCCUGAGCGAGCAGAAGGCCCGCGAGACGCUCAAGAACUCGGCUCUGAGCGCGCAGCUGCGCGAGGCCGCUACUCAGGCUCAGCAGACCCUGGGUUCCACCAUUGACAAAGCUACCGGGACCCUGUUAUAUGGCUUGGCCUCCCGACUCAGGGAUACCCGGCGUCUCUCCUUCCUUGUAAGCUACAUAGCCAGUAAGAAGAUCCACACUGAGCCCCAGCUAAGCGCUGCCCUUGAGUAUGUGCGGAGUCACCCCUUGGACCCCGUCGACACUGUGGACUUCGAGCGGGAAUGUGGCGUGGGUGUCAUUGUGACCCCAGAGCAGAUUGAGGAGGCUGUGGAGGCUGCUAUUAACAGGCACCGGCCCCAGCUCCUGGUGGAACGUUACCAUUUCAACAUGGGGCUGCUGAUGGGAGAGGCUCGGGCUGUGCUCAAGUGGGCAGAUGGCAAAAUGAUCAAGAAUGAAGUGGACAUGCAGGUCCUCCACCUUCUGGGCCCCAAGAUGGAGGCUGAUCUGGAGAAGAAGCCCAAGGUGGCAAAAACUCGGCUAGAAGAAACAGACCGGAGGAUGGCAAAGGAUGUGAUGGAGAAUGGCGAGACUGCUGACCAGACCCUGUCUCUGAUGGAGCAGCUCCGUGGGGAGGCCCUUAAGUUCCACAAGCCUGGUACGUACCCGGUUCCCGCCAGAACCCAAUGGAAUCCUGCAUAUUGGACAUGCCAAAGCCAUCAAUUUCAACUUUGGCUAUGCCAAGGCCAACAAUGGCAUCUGUUUUCUGCGUUUUGAUGACACCAACCCCGAGAAGGAGGAAGCAAAGUUCU
This 876-nucleotide small RNA is filed under the name Pongo abelii (Sumatran orangutan). RNAcentral's name for it is "processed transcript". Lineage: Eukaryota; Metazoa; Chordata; Mammalia; Primates; Hominidae. The record is from RNAcentral.